AAUGAGCCUGCGAGUUGUGGUGUCUGGCAAGGUUAAGCAAACGCGAAGCCGUAGCGAAAGCGAGUCUGAAUAGGGCGCUUAGUCAGAUGCUGCAGACCCGAAACGAAGUGAUCUAUCCAUGAGCAAGUUGAAGCUAGUGUAAGAACUAGUGGAGGACUGAACCCAUAGGCGUUGAAAAGCCCCGGGAUGACUUGUGGAUAGGGGUGAAAGGCCAAUCAAACUUCGUGAUAGCUGGUUCUCUCCGAAAUAUAUUUAGGUAUAGCGUUGUGUCGUAAUAUAAGGGGGUAGAGCACUGAAUGGGCUAGGGCAUACACCAAUGUACCAAACCCUAUCAAACUCCGAAUACCUUAUAUGUAAUCACAGCAGUCAGGCGGCGAGUGAUAAAAUCCGUCGUCAAGAGGGAAACAACCCAGACUACCAGCUAAGGUCCCUAAGUCUUACUUAAGUGGAAAACGAUGUGAAGUUACUUAAACAACCAGGAGGUUGGCUUAGAAGCAGCCAUCCUUUAAAGAAAGCGUAAUAGCUCACUGGUCUAGUGAUUUUGCGCGGAAAAUAUAACGGGGCUAAAGUAAGUACCGAAGCUGUAGACUUAGUUUAC
RNAcentral lists this ribosomal RNA (598 nucleotides) under Campylobacter jejuni. RNAcentral's name for it is "partial 23S ribosomal RNA". It matches the Rfam family "Bacterial large subunit ribosomal RNA", at positions 614 to 1216 of the family's 2925-position model. Lineage: Bacteria; Pseudomonadati; Campylobacterota; Epsilonproteobacteria; Campylobacterales; Campylobacteraceae. The record is from RNAcentral.